GGAGGAUUAGCUCAGCUGGGAGAGCAUCUGCCUUACAAGCAGAGGGUCGGCGUAAGGCAACGGAUUUUGAUUCCGUCAUGCCUAGGUUCGAAUCCUAGUACCCCAGCCA
Molecule: transfer RNA, 109 nt
Filed under: Lysinibacillus sphaericus CBAM5
Lineage: Bacteria; Bacillati; Bacillota; Bacilli; Caryophanales; Bacillaceae
Description: tRNA-Val
Rfam family: tRNA
About the family: Transfer RNA (tRNA) molecules are approximately 80 nucleotides in length.
Source: RNAcentral